ACAGGAAGGUCGUUUAGACAGGUCGAGCAGAUCUCACACAGUUCAGCAGUAAUAGUUAAACGAUGCUCGGACAAACCGUGCGACGAUUCGCCACCUCUGCGGUGCGCUCCAGUCAUUAUGCGGAGGGACCUGGAAAGAACCUGCCGUUCUCAGUAGAAAACAAGUGGAGGCUCCUUGGCAUGAUGGUGAUGUUCUUUGGCAGUGGAUUUGCCUUUCCCUUCAUCGUUGUCAGGCAUCAGAUCCUGAAGAAAUGAAGCUCCUAUCAGUCACACAUUGUCGGUGUGAUUCUUUUGCAACACAGCUCUCAGUUUCUUCUGGUGUGGAUCCUUUAAUGUUAUUGUAAAUAAAAUGACCAAUUACAUUUA
Non-coding RNA from Pimephales promelas (fathead minnow), 365 nucleotides. NCBI's taxonomy places the organism in Eukaryota, Metazoa, Chordata, Actinopteri, Cypriniformes, Leuciscidae. The record is from RefSeq and is a predicted model, not a curated record.